RNAcentral lists this ribosomal RNA (497 nucleotides) under uncultured bacterium. RNAcentral's name for it is "partial 16S ribosomal RNA". It matches the Rfam family "Bacterial small subunit ribosomal RNA", at positions 28 to 507 of the family's 1533-position model. The record is from RNAcentral.
GAUGAACGCUGGCGGCGUGCCUAAUACAUGCAAGUCGAGCGAACAGACGAGGAGCUUGCUUCUCUGACGUUAGCGGCGGACGGGUGAGUAACACGUGGAUAACCUACCUAUAAGACUGGGAUAACUUUGGGAAACCGGAGCUAAUACCGGAUAAUAUAUUGAACCGCAUGGUUCAAUAGUGAAAGACGGUUUUGCUGUCACUUAUAGAUGGAUCCGCGCCGCAUUCGCUAGUUGGUAAGGUAACGGCUUACCAAGGCGACGAUGCGUAGCCGACCUGAGAGGGUGAUCGGCCACACUGGAACUGAGACACGGUCCAGACUCCUACGGGAGGCAGCAGUAGGGAAUCUUCCGCAAUGGGCGAAAGCCUGACGGAGCAACGCCGCGUGAGUGAUGAAGGUCUUCGGAUCGUAAAACUCUGUUAUUAGGGAAGAACAAAUGUGUAAGUAACUAUGCACGUCUUGACGGUACCUAAUCAGAAAGCCACGGCUAACUACGUG